CCUACGGGAGGCAGCAGUGGGGAAUCUUGCACAAUGGGCGAAAGCCUGAUGCAGCAACGCCGCGUGCGGGAAGAAGGCCCUAGGGUUGUAAACCGCUUUCAGUAGGGAAGAAAAUGACGGUACCUACAGAAGAAGGUGCGGCCAACUACGUGCCAGCAGCCGCGGUGACACGUAGGCACCAAGCGUUAUCCGGAUUUAUUGGGCGUAAAGAGCUCGUAGGCGGUUCGGUAAGUCGGGUGUGAAAACUCUGGGCUCAACCCAGAGAGGCCACCCGAUACUGCUGUGACUAGAGUGCGGUAGGGGAGCGGGGAAUUCCUGGUGUAGCGGUGAAAUGCGCAGAUAUCAGGAGGAACACCAGCGGCGAAGGCGCCGCUCUGGGCCGUAACUGACGCUGAGGAGCGAAAGCAUGGGUAGCAAACAGGAUUAGAUACCCUGGUAGUCCAUGCCGUAAACGUUGGGCACUAGGUGUGGGUCUCAACCAACGAGAUCGCGCCGUCGCUACGCAUAGUGCCCGCCCGUCGGGGAGGUACGGUCGGCGAAGAACGUAAACUACAAAUAGUAAGUUAGUACGGCGUUGAGACGUUGCCGACGGCGACGACGAGGGAGGAGG
Molecule: ribosomal RNA, 610 nt
Filed under: uncultured bacterium
Lineage: Bacteria
Description: bacterial SSU rRNA
Rfam family: Bacterial small subunit ribosomal RNA (bases 1-516)
Source: RNAcentral